RNAcentral lists this ribosomal RNA (503 nucleotides) under uncultured bacterium. Its description in RNAcentral is "partial 16S ribosomal RNA". It matches the Rfam family "Bacterial small subunit ribosomal RNA", at positions 30 to 523 of the family's 1533-position model. The record is from RNAcentral.
AUUGAACGCUGGCGGCAGGCUUAACACAUGCAAGUCGAGCGGGGUGAUGGUGCUUGCACUAUCACUUAGCGGCGGACGGGUGAGUAAUGCUUAGGAAUCUGCCUAUUAGUGGGGGACAACAUCUCGAAAGGGAUGCUAAUACCGCAUACGUCCUACGGGAGAAAGCAGGGGAUCACUUGUGACCUUGCGCUAAUAGAUGAGCCUAAGCCGGAUUAGCUAGUUGGUGGGGUAAAGGCCUACCAAGGCGACGAUCUGUAGCGGGUCUGGGAGGAUGAUCCGCCACACUGGGACUGAGACACGGCCCAGACUCCUACGGGAGGCAGCAGUGGGGAAUAUUGGACAAUGGGGAGAACUCUGAUCCAGACAUGCCGCGUGUGUGAAGAAGGCCUUAUGGUUGUAAAGCACUUUAAGCGAGGAGGAGGCUCUUUUGGUUAAUACCCAAGAUGAGUGGACGUUACUCGCAGAAUAAGCACCGGCUAACUCUGUGCCAGCAGCCGCGGUAA